GCAUCGAUGAAGAACGCAGCCAGUUGCGAUAAGUAGUGUGAAUUGCAGAAUUCAGUGAAUCAUCGAAUCUUUGAACGCAAAUUGCGCUUUCUGGAUAUCCAGGGAGCAUGCCUGUCUGAGCGUCGUUUAAUAAUCUACACACCUCGGUGUGGCUAGGGAGUUCAUGCAAUCUCGGUUGCCUGUCUCUCGAUGUGUCUGAACCUGGCAGUGUGCACUUCGUGUACUGCUUGGAAGGCUCAACUUGCUUCUGUCCUUCUAAAGCUUGUACUUGUGAUAACGCUGUCUAGUGUUCUACUUCGAAUUUAUUCGAAUUCCUUGAUUUUUGACCUCAGAUCAGACAAGACUACCCGCUGAAUUUAAGCAUAUCAAUAAGCGGAGGA
Molecule: ribosomal RNA, 380 nt
Filed under: uncultured fungus
Lineage: Eukaryota; Fungi
Description: eukaryotic LSU rRNA
Rfam family: 5.8S ribosomal RNA (bases 1-125)
Source: RNAcentral